CGUUAGUGCGCGUGCUCAGGCGCGCCCUCUUCUUUCUCCCCAAAAACUCGUGGGACAGGCGGGACAGCCGUCGAGCUGGUCUCAGCAGAACCAUGAUCUGCCUUUUCUUAAGCCUGUUCGCCUACAUGUUUAAAACAGACACAUCACACUAUUCAGAUCAGAUCAUCAAUAAUACCGCCUCCUGCUGACGUCCAACCAUCUGCGUAUCAGAGACGCACUGAUACUGCUGCAGCUCAGCCAAUCAGCUCUCCCUCCUGCCCUGCUUCUAAACCCAUACAUCACCCAGUUCCGUUCCUAAAAUUCCCCUCCCAUUUUUUAGCCUUUUUUAAAAGGUGGACUCAGCAAAAAUCAGGGGGUUUAGUGCCUAUUUAAACCUCCCAUCUCUUUGUUGUUCCAUGUUGCACCAUGUUCCAGAGAAACAUAAUUUCCUUGCACUGUGUACCUGUACUUAGAUGUAAUGACAUUGAAAGCUAUUUGAUUUAACUUGACUUGAAAGAAUCAGAUUAAUUUCAUGUAUCUUUUUUUUUUCUUUAAUAUUUGCAGUUCAGCUUAAAAGAAUCGGUUCAGUAAUGUGAUUCUAAGGUCACAACUGCUAAAAUUAUACCAUGAUAUUAGCAUGUUUGUGUCUUGUAUAGAAAAGUGAUGCAAGCUUGACUUGAUUGAAAAUUAACUACAUUUAUAAACGUUUUUUUUUCUUUGAAAUAGUGUGAAUGUUUUGAUUUUUUAAGGAAUAUUAAGGAAACUAAUGCCUUAAACUUAUUUCAUAUUACUCUCAUUGUGUUUUGUUUUUAUUAAAGAAUCGGUUCGUUGAACUUUAGUAUAACUUACCAAAUCUUACAAAAAAUCAGUUUGAAGGAAUCGGUUUGUUUGUGUGAAUCGAAUUGUAAUCGCUGUAGUUCAGUUUGAAAGAAUCGGUUCAUCUAUCUUGAUUCGAGCUCCUCAUCAAUCGCCUCUGCCUGUUUCUGUGUAAACCCUAUUAUUAGCGCCGUUUUUCUGAUUGGUUGCCGAGUGUUCAUCCCCCGGCGUUCCCUCACCUGAUUGGUUGGUCUGUGUGUCGGACUGAACGCGCGAGGCGGCUGCACGCAGCAUGGGCUCCAAAAGGUCACUUACAGACUCUGCAGAUAUUCUGGAUUUAGGUGCGAAAAUCGCCCGAAUAACUGAAUCAGGUACAGCAGAAAGGAGGCGUUUAAUUUCUGAGUAGUUUAACGUUAAUGAAUAACCUAACCGUACCGAGUUUCACUGGCUGAGAUUCCCGGUUCAGGGCGGGUCUUGCUGUUGUUAUGAAGCCAUCUGUUCAGCGGGUCUCUGAGCCUCAGUGUAAUAGGUUUAUAGUUUGGUAUUAGCUUAUUAAGAGUGUUGACUGCUUUGCCUAAGGUCCGUUUAAACGUGUCUGUAUACAGCAUGCAGUCCUGUAUUUAUGGAAACCUGAAAAAUAUAAGGAUUCAAAAAUUCAUAAUUAAAUUUGAGAAUGUUUAAAGUCAGAUUAGUGCAAUCUUUAUUAUUAAUAAAUGGAUUUCUGGACAGUGGAAUGGCUGAUUU
This 1539-nucleotide long non-coding RNA is filed under the name Astyanax mexicanus (Mexican tetra). RNAcentral describes it as "lncRNA (ENSAMXG00005024292.1)". The record is from RNAcentral. Lineage: Eukaryota; Metazoa; Chordata; Actinopteri; Characiformes; Acestrorhamphidae.